Molecule: ribosomal RNA, 460 nt
Filed under: uncultured bacterium
Lineage: Bacteria
Description: partial 16S ribosomal RNA
Rfam family: Bacterial small subunit ribosomal RNA
Source: RNAcentral
CCUACGGGAGGCAGCAGUGAGGAAUAUUGGUCAAUGGACGAGAGUCUGAACCAGCCAAGUCGCGUGAGGGAUGACUGCCCUAUGGGUUGUAAACUUCUUUUAUAUGGGAAUAAAAUGUUCCACGUGUGGGGUUUUGUAUGUACCAUAUGAAUAAGGAUCGGCUAACUCCGUGCCAGCAGCCGCGGUAAUACGGAGGAUCCGGUCGUUAUCCGGAUUUAUUGGGUUUAAAGGGAGCGUAGGUGGAUUGUUAAGUCAGUUGUGAAAGUUGGCGGCUCAACCUUAAAAUUGCAGUGGAAACUGGCAGUCUUGAGUACAGUAGAGGUGGGCGGAAUUCGUGGUGUAGCGGUGAAAUGCGUAGAUAUCACGAAGAACUCCGAUUGCGAAGGCAGUUCACUGGACUGCAACUGACACUGAGGCUCGAAAGUGUGGGUAUCAAACAGGAUUAGAUACCCGUGUAGUC